Molecule: ribosomal RNA, 497 nt
Filed under: uncultured bacterium
Lineage: Bacteria
Description: partial 16S ribosomal RNA
Rfam family: Bacterial small subunit ribosomal RNA
Source: RNAcentral
GAUGAACGCUGGCGGCGUGCCUAAUACAUGCAAGUCGAGCGAACAGACGAGGAGCUUGCUCCUCUGACGUUAGCGGCGGACGGGUGAGUAACACGUGGAUAACCUACCUAUAAGACUGGGAUAACUUCGGGAAACCGGAGCUAAUACCGGAUAUAUAUUUAACCGGCUGGUUUCAUAGUUGAAGACGGGUUUUGUUGUAACUAUUGGUUGGAUCCGCGCCGCAUUAGCUAGUUGGUAAGGUAACGGCUUACCAAGGCAACGAUGCGUAGCCGACCUGAGAGGGUGAUCGGCCACACUGGAACUGAGACACGGUCCAGACUCCUACGGGAGGCAGCAGUAGGGAAUCUUCCGCAAUGGGCGAAAGCCUGACGGAGCAACGCCGCGUGAGUGAUGAAGGUCUUCGGAUCGUAAAACUCUGUUAUUAGGGAAGAACAAAUGUGUAAGUAACUAUGCACGUCUUGACGGUACCUAAUCAGAAAGCCACGGCUAACUACGUG